UCCCCGAUAGCUCAGUUGGUAGAGCGACGGACUGUUAAUCCGCAGGUCCCAGGUUCGAGCCCUGGUCGGGGAGCCA
RNAcentral lists this transfer RNA (76 nucleotides) under Nitrosospira sp. Its description in RNAcentral is "tRNA-Asn". It matches the Rfam family "tRNA". From Rfam's summary of the family: Transfer RNA (tRNA) molecules are approximately 80 nucleotides in length. Their secondary structure includes four short double-helical elements and three loops (D, anti-codon, and T loops). Lineage: Bacteria; Pseudomonadati; Pseudomonadota; Betaproteobacteria; Nitrosomonadales; Nitrosomonadaceae. RNAcentral also lists the same sequence under 23 other names. The record is from RNAcentral.